AGCUCCAAUAGCGUAUAUUUUAGUUGUUGCAGUUAAAAAGCUCGUAGUCGCAUUUCUGGCGAGAGGAUCCGGUCCGACCUUUUGGUGGGUUCUUGGGUCUCUUUCGCCAUCCUUGAGUGGUCCGUUCUGGCAUUAGGUUGUCGGAGCGUCAGCCGCUCAUCGUUUACUGUGAGAAAAUUAGAGUGUUCAAAGCAGGCUUAUGCCGUUGAAUAUAUUAGCAUGGAAUAAUAAGAUAGGACCUCGGUACUAUUUUGUUGGUUUGCGCACCAAGGUAAUGAUGAACAGGGACAGUUGGGGGUAUUUGUAUUUCGUUGUCAGAGGUGAAAUUCUUAGAUUUACGAAAGACAAACUACUGCGAAAGCAUUUACCAAGGAUGUUUUCA
Molecule: ribosomal RNA, 382 nt
Filed under: uncultured marine Chaetocerotaceae
Lineage: Eukaryota; Bacillariophyta; Thalassiosirophyceae; Chaetocerotales; Chaetocerotaceae
Description: SSU rRNA
Rfam family: Eukaryotic small subunit ribosomal RNA
Source: RNAcentral